UCAGCUAAACUUUGGUCAAGACGAUGUGGAAGAUUGAAAUCGAUAGAAAACGAUGCAAGUAUUUAAAUGGAAAAGGUCACCAUGUUGUUUGUAGUAGCCUCAACCUACGAGUAUACAUCAAAGAUCAUAAAUCACCGAAUAAGACAAUCAUGGAAUAACCCAAGAAAAACAGUAGCACUCAGUCAAAUUGUGUUUUUGUCUGUCUAUGUCUUUCCUUCAAUUAUAAUCUUCAGCUAGAGACAAACGGUGAUUUCCAUUGGCAGUACUUAGCCCGCAUUGUAAAGACUAGGAAGAGGAUAUCCAUUUUGGUAUCCAUUAGUAUGACACUGAUGUCAUCCGCGCAAAAAAUUUCGACAGAUAAUGAGUACCCAGUUUAGGGUGAUAUUACAAGCAAAUGUUAUCUAAACAUAUUUCAGAGAAAAUAUCCAUAUCAGACCACGACACGAGAAAAUACAUUUUUAAUAUUCAAACUACUUGACGGGACAUUUCAUAAUAUGUAAGGCAUUAAUAAAUACAAAAUUGUUAAUGCCCUCUUAUCAGGUAAAUAUUUUCCCACAAAAUUAUUAAUGUUUAUGCACACACCACACACGAUGAGUGUGUAUAUGGACUCCUCAAUACAAAUGGAAAUAAUAUAAAUCAGCCUACAGAAAAAUGUCAGCUACUCAACACAAAUCCAAGAAAUUUUAGUAAAAAUUAUUCGAUAUAAAAUUUCCAUAUAAAACGCAUGCCACUCCCCUUUUCGGUUUUAAUGAUCAAACGCACAGACUUAAAAUCGACCACGGAGCAAAGGAAGGGAGUCGGAGGCCUAUGGCGCUCUUAUCAAUUACCAAGAAUUCACCAACAAGGGCAGACGAAGAGAAUUCCAUUUGAAUUUUUAUUUAAUUUUUUUGUCAAUAGUUAAUAACCCGCUAACAUGUCGCAGCUUUUGUUUUUGGCUUCGAGUACUUUUAAACAGAAAGCCCCAUCGAAAUAAUCAAAACGAGCAAAUAAAUGAUAACGCCACCAUCACCACCCACCCACACUCCAGGCCACAGCUGUCGAGGAAUGACAAAGACGACUUCGCGCUAUUCCAACAACGGGAAACUAGCAAUUUUUUGUGGUUAACUACCAUUUUCGUAACAAACUGAAAUAGAUGGCAUUAAUCUUAAAUCAUGAACAUAAAAAACUUACAAUAUUUGCUACAAAGUAAAAGCGCAGAGGCCAGCAACGAAACAAGUGACCGAAAACACGCUAUAAACGAAAACUGAUAUGACAGUGGGAGGCAGGACAUACAUGGCCGUGGAGUGAAACAAAGUAAAGAGGAUAUUGUGGAGAUCGGCCAACUCGAAUUACGUAUGCCCUGCAUUGGUAUGAAAUUUGAAUUUUGAAAAACGCCUUCACAUUGAAUGUUUCUUGCCGAAAUUUCAUCAAAAUCGAAGCUAAAAAAAUAAAAUCAGGAGAUCAAGCAAAUUUAGUGACCAUAUAAGACAUUGAACCCAUCAUACUUGCUGUCCAUGUUAGUAAGCGGUACUUACGAGUAUAUAACACUCUAUACUAAAUGUAGUCGAAAUGGAAUUAAAACUGCGCAUUCUGUGA
This is a long non-coding RNA of Stomoxys calcitrans (stable fly), 1575 nucleotides long. RefSeq lists it as uncharacterized. The record is from RefSeq and is a predicted model, not a curated record. The transcript is spliced from 2 exons. NCBI's taxonomy places the organism in Eukaryota, Metazoa, Arthropoda, Insecta, Diptera, Muscidae.